CCACCACUGGCCCCUCUUAAUUCUCAUGUCCUUUUCACAUUUCAAAACCAAUUAUGCCUUCCCAACAGUCUCCCAAAGCCUUAACUCAUUCCAACAUUAACUCAAAAGUCCAAGUCCAAAGUCUCAUCUGAGGCAAAGCAUGUCUCUUCCUCCUAUGAUCUUGUAAAAUAAAAAGCAAGUUAGUUGCUUCCAAGAUAAAAUGUGGGUGCUGGCAUUGAGUAAAUGCUCCAAAAUUGGCCAAAACAAAGGGGCCAUAGGCCCCAUGCAAGUACAAAACUCAUCGGGGCACUCAUUAAAUCUUAAUGCUCCAGAACAAUCUCAUUUGACUCCAUGUCUCAAAUCCAGGGUAUGCUGAUGCAAGGGAUGGUCUCCCCGGGCCUUGGGCAGCUCUGCUCCUGUGCCUCUGCAGGAUACAGCCCCUGCAGCUGCUUUCAUGGGCUGGCAUUGAGCCCCUGCACUUCUCCUGAUGCACAGUGCAAGUUGUUGAUGGAGCUACCAUUCUGGGGGGUAUGGAGGUCAGUGGCUCUUUUGUCACAGCUCCACUAGGCAGUGACCCAGUGGGGACUCUAUGUGGGGGCUCCAACCCCACAUUUCCUCUUUGCAUUGCCCUAGUAGAGGUAUUCCAUGAAGGCUCUGCCCCUGCAGCAAACUUCUGCCUGGGCAUCCAGGCAUUUCCAUAUGUCCUCUGAAAUCUAGGUGGAGGCUUCCAAAGUUUAACUCAUGUCUUCUGUUUACCUGCAGGCCCAACACUGUGUGGAAGCUGCCAAGGCUUGGGGCAUGCACCCUCUGAAGCAAUGACCUGAGCUGUAUCUUGGCCUCUUUUAGCUACAGCUGGAGCUGGAGCAGCUGAGACCCAUGUUGCAAGGAAGAGAGACAAGAUUAUACCUGUCUGAGUAAAAUAAGGGGGAUUUAUGGAGAAAGUCUCAUGUGAUCUAUGGAAGACCUGAGCAUCUAGGAACCAAAGGAGGAAGAAUCAGGCAAUCAAACUUAGUGCAGAUCGGAGACCACCUUUCAUCUGACUCUGCUGUUGCCGGGACUUAGAAUCUACUUCCCAGUGUCUAGAGAUCCCAGGUCAUGUCCUAGAAACUUGAGAGAGAGUCCAACUGAUCAAGCUUUGUCUAAUCAACUAUUUUGAUCCAAUUAACUACUUUGAUCUAAUCAACUAGGACGAUGCAUGAGAAUCAUGAAACUCAAACAUGACUCCUGAAGUCCUGCCCUGUGCAUCUAUAGCUGAUCAAAGAAAAGAUCAAAUGGGCAAACAACCCUCAAAAUUUGUUUUCUCAGACUAUAUUCACGUACUUUACCUUCUGCCUGCAUGGUGUUCUUAUUCCCUGGAAAAAUCAUUUGUAUUCUUUAAGCCUAACCGCAAAUGAAGACUUCACAGAUUCUACAAACCAGAUCAUCUCUCUCCUGUAAGUUAUCAUUCUUUCUCAUUUUUUUAUUGAGAGAUAAUUCACAUACAAUAAAAUUUACCUUUUAAAAACAUGCAGUUAAGGCCGGGCAUGGUGGCUCACCCCUGUAAUCCCAGACUUUGGGAGGCCAAGCCAGGCAGAUCACGAGGUCAGGAGAUCGAGAUCAAGACCAUCCUGGCUAACACAGUGAAACCCUGUCUCUACUAAAAAUACAAAAACUUAGCCAAGCGUAGUGGCACGUGCCUGUAGUCCCAGCUCCUCAGGAGGCUGAGGUAGGAGAAUCAUUUGAAACCAGGAGGCUGAGGUUGCAGUGAGCCGAGAUCACACCACUACACUCCAGCCUGGGCGACAGAGCAAGACUCCAUCUCAAAAAAGAAAAAAAAAAAAUAUGCAGCUAAGUGGCUUUAGUAUAUUUUCAGUGUUGUACAACCAUCACCACUAUCUAAUGCCAGAAUAUUUUCAUUACCCAUAAAAGGAACCCUACCCAUGAAUAGUCACUCCUAUGCCCAGGGCCCCUGGCAACCACAAAUCUCUUUCUUUCUCUAUGAUCUUUGCUUGCUCUGGAUUUUUAUAUUAAUAUAAUGGAAUCAUACAAUAUGUGUCCUUUUCUGUCUGGGUUUAUUCACUUAACAUAAUAUUUUCAUGGUUUCUCUUGCAACAUGGAUCAGAACUUUAUAUCUUUUUUGGCCAAAUAUCAUUCCAUUAUAUGGAAAGACCACACUGUGUUUAUCCAAUCAUCAUUUGAUGGACAUUUGGAUUAUUUCCACUUUUUAGCUAUUACGAAUAAUGCUAUUAUAAUUAUUCCUGAACAAGUUAUUGUGUAGACAUACAUCUUUAAGUCUCUUGAGUAUACACUUAGGAAUAAAAUUAUUGGGUCAUAUGAUAACUCUCUGUUUAACUUUCUGAGCAACUGCCAAAAUAUUUUCCAAAGUAGUCACACCAUUUUAUGUCCCCCCGAAUAAUAAGCAAGGUGUUAAUUUUAUCCAAAUUCUCAUCAAAAUAUUAUUUCAUAUAUAUCUAUAUAUACUUAUCUAUCCAUCUAUAUCAAUAUAUCAGAUUAGUAUUAUUCUCAUAGCCAUCCUAGUGGGUUUGAAGUGCUCUCUUACCACGAUUUUUAUUUGUUUCUCUAAUGGCUAAUGAUGGUGCAUAUCUAUCUGCCCUAGUGGUUUUCAUAAUGUUGCUACUUAAGAAUUUGACUUUUUUCUUCAUUUCCUCAACUAAAACUAUCCCCUAUUGCUUGCAGCUGAAUUUUAAUUCCCUUCAUAUUGUCUGCAGAUCUGAGUAUGAUGCCUGUUAUUGUUUAAAUUAUCAUCAGUGGCUGGGUACAGUAUCUCAUCCUUGUAAUCCCAGCUCUUUGGGAGGCCAAGGUGGGCGGAUCACUUGAGCCCAGGAGUUUGAAACCUGGCUGGGCAAUAUAGUGAGACUUCAUCUCUAAAAAAAUUUAAAAAAUAAAAUAGCGGGGCCUAGUGGUGUACACUUUGUAGUCCCAGCUACUCAAGAGGCUGACGCAGGAGGAUCACUCGAGCCCGGAAGGCAGAGAUUGCAAUAAGCCAAGAUCAUGACACUGCACGCUAACCUGGGAGACAGAAUGAGACCUUGUUCAAUAAAUAAAUAAAUAACUUAAUUAAUUAAUUAAUUAACAUUUUUGAAAUAAUUUGUUCUUUAAAUGUUAAAAAUAAUAUUGCAUAAUAACUUUUACUGAGUUUUAUGAAAUCAGGGUUGUCAUUAUCAUCUAAUGUUUCUCUAAGAGCCCAAAUUCAUUGAUCUACUUCUACAAGUUGAACCACACUAGGGCAGUCUUACUGUUGCAACAUUAAUGCCUUUAUUUUACUCAGCAACUAGCAGAUGCCUUAAAGACUUUAUCAUUAAUUUUCCUAGUGACUUUUUGUGUAGAGAUUGUUAUCCUCAUUUUAAAGAAUUGGGAACCAAGGCAUAGAGACCAUGACAUGUACCAAAAAUUCCAUCAGUUCUGCCAUGUCUACCAGCCCCUUUGUGGUCAGGGACAAUGGAAUGCAGGCAAGGGUGACUUGUAUCACAUCCAGGUCCAAGCAGCGAAUAAAUAGCACACAAUCCCUCAUGUAUCCCCUCUUUUAGGGCAACAACCAGG
Molecule: long non-coding RNA, 3519 nt
Filed under: Homo sapiens (human)
Lineage: Eukaryota; Metazoa; Chordata; Mammalia; Primates; Hominidae
Description: HSALNT0215494
Source: RNAcentral